AGUGGGGACUAUACUGGGGUUGUUCCACCCGAUCCCAUUCCGAACUCGGAAGUGAAAUACCCCAAGGCCGAUGAUAGUGCAAUUUUGCGCGAAAGUAGGUAGUCCCCACUU
This 111-nucleotide ribosomal RNA is filed under the name Candidatus Parcubacteria bacterium. Lineage: Bacteria; Candidatus Parcubacteria. The record is from RNAcentral.